CCACCACCACCGCCAGCAGCAGCAGCACUGCCGGAGCUCACAGCCUUAAUGGUGGCACACGCGCGGGGAAACGGUGGAUCAAUGCCAGCGCGCGUCAGUGGCCCAGAAGACGCAGAUGGACCCAGCCACGCUGGCCUCCUACUGGCAGAAGAUGAGCGGUGCUGACGGAUGAGCGCGCAUGACAUCACCGCGGCCGCUGGAACAUCGCUCUAUAAUGGUGCGGGGCUUCAUCCCUCCACGGCCGCGCUUCCGUCGCGACCGAGAUACGACGCCCACAAGGGCAAGCGUAAUGAGGAGGGCAUCGCGUGCACGCCUCCUCGGCACGUCCGUUCCUUUCACUGUGACGACUGCGCCAAAAGAAAUAAUGCCCAGGGCCCCCCCCUCCCCCCCCCACUGCCAACCGAAAUAUGGCACUGCUGUGAGACGGAUGGCACCAUCAUGUUGCGAUGUCCCUUAAAGCAAGGCGAGUCCGAAUUGGGAUCAUUAGUCGCGUCCAUAUGAAGAAAAAAUAUAAGCAUCCAUUAAAAUAAUUCUGAAAGAAGCGUAAUGGAGUGGGCGUUAUAAACAAGAGUUGAAUGGUGCAGUCGGGUGAGAUGUGUACAUAUUAUGACAUCACAGAUCGUGGGACACAUCAUAUGAUCAUUCUCAUGGCCACUGUGGGGAUCCGGACAGCCCUACAAUUUGUUUUUAUGCCGCUAAGAGACAUCCACAACAUUUUGGACAAAAAAUUCUGGCAUUUUUGAGACCCGUGUUUCUCUCCCUUGAGCAAGGCGACCCAAAUGCCGAUUAUUCCAAAGACAGAACAUUUAAAUAAACAGCAACGCAUGGAUGGUUGAGGCUCGGUAUGGAAUCAUUAGCCAGUACUAUAGUUGUAUGGAAAGCUGGACAAUUGCAAACACCCUACAAAGCAACGUAGAAGCAACGGAAAUGUGGUUUUAGGACAAGAUGAGUAAAAUUGCAUGUAUAUUCUUGUUUCCCUUCUAUAUGACUUUACCGAAAGAACCUAGAAUAUGAAUCCCUGCAGUGACGAAAGCUUUAAGUCAAAACUUGCAUGUAUUUCAGAUAGGAGGGUGCACAUCCAGAAUAUUCAUGAGAAUAAUGAGAGAAAGGCAAUGUUAGAUUUCUUGGAUAUGGGAAGAGAAGGCGAGACCGAAUAUAAAUGUGAUCUUGACCGGGAAAAUGAUCGGUGCAAGACAGCGAAUUAAGCAACAUAACGACAUUUAACAAUUGGAUGCGACUGGGAGGAGUAUCUCAGUGAUUCAAUAGCAUGGACAGGGAUGACUGGAAGGCAAGGCAAUGAUCGCAGACAUCUUUCAGAAAGGACAUGGCACACAGACCGGGGGAGAGUUGUACUGUAUUGAUGUCAUGUAUCUAUUAGAGGUUCUUUGUGUUAGAUUGCAUGAAUGUAAAUGUGUAGUUUAAACCCUCCGCCACCCGACACAACCAAUUCGUAAGGUUAUUAAUUGGCUGUGUCGGUUACUAAUUGGCUGUGUCGGGUGGCGGCGGGUUUCACGACACAUAUAUUUUUCCGCGAUUUAACCCACCAAAAAAAACCUCUACUGUGGAAGACAUUGGCUCGCAAAAGCCUGCGUGUUAAACAGAUUUCAUGUAAUAUACUGCAGUGAACUCCUCACAUCCGUGAUGAGGUGGGGGGGGGGGGAGGUGGGGGAGCAACAUCACGGACACCGUCUGUCAUCUCCCCGUUAACCACGGGGACCAUUCCCUCGCCGGUCACCCUCAACAUCCACAGUUGCGGCUGCAACCCUGGUGCAUUAUGGGUAAUGCUCCACACACAACACGUGCGCCCAGAAUAUGGAGACAAAUGGGAGGUAUGUUUAUGUAUUUAUGCUUAACAUUUUCGUGCCUUCGUGCGUUGGAUUAAAGGAGUUCGAGGUGAUCAUCAACAAUCUGGAGAUCGCAUCGAAGCUGCGGAAAUGUUGAGCGAAGCGUGCGCGCUUUGAAUCGUAGACGAGGGGGUUGGGCGAUGACGGGAAAAAUGUGAAAUGCUUCGCUCGAGACGGGAAGAAAUGUGUCUUCAAACGUGAACACUCGUGAACACGCGCAUCUCGAAAUACACCAGCCAGCCUGGAGUCCGGGAGUUUCCCUUUCUCUCAGCGAGCAAAACAAAUCAUGCUUUUUAUUGCUCCUAUUUCAAUUUAAACAACCGCCGUAUGGUCACUGAAAAAGCAACAAUUCACUGCCGUACAUUGUAGCAGGCAAAGGUGCAGCCCUGCAAUUGCUUGCUCAUACCGCUGCUGGUGGAAGGAUCCGCACUAAAAAGGAGCUCUGGUGAACCCCUCGAGGGUAUUUGGCCUACUCUUCCACGCUGGCCAGACGUCUUAGAAGACGUUUGAGUACCCACACUUUACCCCACCACGUGUGUCCUGCCGAUCUAAUCUCAAAAAAAGCGUCCAUGUCCUUUCCCAAAGACGUCGGGGGAUGAACGGCCUUCGAUUUACCUCCGUGAUAUUACCCAAGACGUUUGCAUUAGAUAAUCCCAGUUGCGUCCAAUAGUUCAAAUGUCUUUUUGUACUUGACGACCAACCGUGGUGCACCCACUUCUACUGCUGGGUGGGAUGGAGGCGGAAGGAUUUCAUGAACUUCCAUCGGUUUCAACCGCAACGCCGGGAGGUGGAAUCGAACCGGCGGCCCCUGGAUCGCAAGGCCAGCGCGCUCAUCGCUGCACCACUGCGGAAGCGUCCACUUGCUGUGUCGACUCAAAGUAACGCUCUCCCAUUCAUCAUUCGCAUGGCCUUACGAUGGAACAAAAAUAUAUAUCUCAUUGGGCCGACAUUUCAGACAAUGACCGUCUCGUGUUCUCAGAUGCAAGAGUGUGGACGCGACUUCAAGAAAGUGACGUCACAUCCUGUGAAUGAAUCAUUUUCAGAUCGAUCUGAAACGUUUCAUUCUUUUGGAUCAUCUGAAAUUUCAAAUCUCGGAACGAUUGCCAAGACUUUUCAAAUCAGCAACACGUCCCUGAUCUCAUGUUUGCAUGCCACAACCUGUGGGGGUCUGGGGCGAGUUCAACCUACCGGGGACGGCGGAGGAGCCCUCAGCGUGACCCGAACGGAUUCACGGGGCGACUCGGUGGACACUUGACUCCCCGUUACACUGUCCUGAUCUGCACGCACACACAAACAAAAUAAAGAUUCCCCCAUAUAGCCUUAA
Non-coding RNA from Petromyzon marinus (sea lamprey), 3168 nucleotides. The record is from RefSeq and is a predicted model, not a curated record. Lineage: Eukaryota; Metazoa; Chordata; Hyperoartia; Petromyzontiformes; Petromyzontidae.